RNAcentral lists this ribosomal RNA (492 nucleotides) under uncultured bacterium. RNAcentral's name for it is "partial 16S ribosomal RNA". It matches the Rfam family "Bacterial small subunit ribosomal RNA", at positions 29 to 507 of the family's 1533-position model. The record is from RNAcentral.
AGUGAACGCUGGCGGUAGGCCUAACACAUGCAAGUCGAACGGCAGCACAGUAAGAGCUUGCUCUUACGGGUGGCGAGUGGCGGACGGGUGAGGAAUACAUCGGAAUCUACAUUUUCGUGGGGGAUAACGUAGGGAAACUUACGCUAAUACCGCAUACGACCUACGGGUGAAAGCAGGGGAUCUUCGGACCUUGCGCGAUUGAAUGAGCCGAUGUCGGGUUAGCUAGUUGGCGGGGUAAAGGCCCACCAAGGCGACGAUCCGUAGCUGGUCUGAGAGGAUGAUCAGCCACACUGGAACUGAGACACGGUCCAGACUCCUACGGGAGGCAGCAGUGGGGAAUAUUGGACAAUGGGCGCAGGCCUGAUCCAGCCAUACCGCGUGGGUGAAGAAGGCCUUCGGGUUGUAAAGCCCUUUUGUUGGGAAAGAAAAGCAGCAGGUUAAUACCCCGCUGUUCUGACGGUACCCAAAGAAUAAGCACCGGCUAACUUCGUG